AAUAAGUUUAGUUUUAUACUAUCCUUAUCCAACGUUUGACCGUUCGUCUUAUUUAAUUUUUUAAUUAUUUUUAUUUAUUAGAUGAUAAAACAUGAAUUUUAUAUGUGACUAAUUAUUUUAUAAAAUUUUUAAAUAAUACGAACGGUUAAAUGUUAGAAACGGAUAUCCACGGCAACACUUAUA
Molecule: microRNA precursor, 183 nt
Organism: Oryza sativa Indica Group (long-grained rice)
Lineage: Eukaryota; Viridiplantae; Streptophyta; Magnoliopsida; Poales; Poaceae
Rfam family: MIR812 microRNA precursor family
Source: Rfam